This is a non-coding RNA of Notechis scutatus (mainland tiger snake), 94 nucleotides long. Lineage: Eukaryota; Metazoa; Chordata; Lepidosauria; Squamata; Elapidae. The record is from RefSeq and is a predicted model, not a curated record.
CAGUACAUGAGUUUCAGUCCCAAAGAUGCUCCUUCUCCCCAGGAGUCCAACCUUCAAUUCUGGAUGAAUACUUCUGCAGCAUAGAGAUUAAUAA